Molecule: ribosomal RNA, 254 nt
Filed under: uncultured bacterium
Lineage: Bacteria
Description: partial 16S ribosomal RNA
Rfam family: Bacterial small subunit ribosomal RNA
Source: RNAcentral
CACGUAGGGGCCAAGCGUUGUCCGGAUUUAUUGGGCGUAAAGAGCUCGUAGGCGGUUCGACAAGUCGGGUGGGAAAACUCCGGGCUCAACCCGGAGACGCCACCCGAUACUGUCGUGACUGGAGUCCGGUAGGGGAGUGGGGAAUUCCUGGUGUAGCGGUGAAAUGCGCAGAUACCAGGAGGAACACCGGUGGCGAAGGCGCCACUCUGGGCCGGUACUGACGCUGAGGAGCGAAAGCGUGGGUAGCAAACAGG